RNAcentral lists this transfer RNA (65 nucleotides) under Hasora anura. RNAcentral's name for it is "tRNA-Ile". The record is from RNAcentral. Lineage: Eukaryota; Metazoa; Arthropoda; Insecta; Lepidoptera; Hesperiidae.
AAAAAAAGAGCCUGAUAAAAGGGUUUUUUUGAUAGAAAAAAAUAUGUAAUUGAUUACCUUUUUUA